RNAcentral lists this ribosomal RNA (1446 nucleotides) under Triticum aestivum (bread wheat). Its description in RNAcentral is "partial small subunit ribosomal RNA". Lineage: Eukaryota; Viridiplantae; Streptophyta; Magnoliopsida; Poales; Poaceae. The record is from RNAcentral.
AUGGAAACUCUACGUGACAUGGCUCUGCCACCAGGAUUUGGAUUCCAUCCUAAGGACACUGAACUCGUUGCUCACUAUCUGAAAAAGAAAAUACUUGGUCAGAAAAUUGAAUAUGACAUUAUACCAGAGGUGGAUAUAUACAAGCAUGAACCAUGGGAUUUACCUGCGAAGUGCAAUGUUCCAACACAGGAUAACAAGUGGCAUUUCUUUGCUGCUCGAGACAGAAAGUAUCCUAAUGGUGCUCGGUCAAAUAGGGCAACGGUUGCUGGGUAUUGGAAGUCUACUGGAAAAGACCGGGCCAUUAAGGUGGAUAAGAGGACCAUAGGAACAAAGAAAACUUUAGUUUUUCAUGAAGGUCGGCCUCCCACUGGAAAACGUACUGAGUGGAUUAUGCAUGAAUACUACAUAGAUGAGAACGAAUGUCAAUCCUGCCCUGAUAUGAAGGAUGCCUUUGUUCUAUGUAAAGUUACUAAAAGAAUUGACUGGACAUCAGAGAAUGGUAACGAGGUGGGCAAUAAUAACCCUCAGCCACAACAAGCAAAUGUUGCUGCUAUUUUAGCUGUCAGUGUUGAACAGCCAGAUACUGCUGCAUCAUCAAUUAUUGGUGAUGAACUUCCAAGUGAUGCUGCUACCGUAGCUAUCCCUGCUCACAUGACUCCAGAUGGGAAUGAUGACCUUAAAGAAUGGCUGGAAGAACUGCUUGAUACCUCCUUUGAUCCUUCUGCUAACACUGCAGUGGAUUCUGUUUCUGCUCAACUGUCUCCGGAUGAACAAAAUGCUGAAUCAUUGAACAUUGGUGCUAUGGCUCCGAAGGUGGAACUGGACUAUGCCAGUCCUAACCAGACUGUGGUAGACGAUAUAGACUUCCUGUUGCCAGAUGAUAUUCACUCCAUGUUGUAUCCUGGUAGUGAUGACUUCACUUCAUGGCAGCAAACAUACUUUACGGCGGCGGAUCCCUUCAGUCUGUCAAACAACUUCAUGGAUGAAUUUCAGAUGAAAGAGCUACAGUUACCUCUGGAAAAUAAUGGGCCUAAUCUGUAUGAACCUGCUGAUACUGGAAUUGUAGUGCGAACACGUCAUGGGGGAACAUCUGCAGCUAGCGUUCCACCAUACAAGGCUCGACUUCAGCAAAGUCUUGGCAGGAUGGUUACGAGCAGCUCUGAAUCCAUCAACCAGACUAUCAAGUUCGUUGACAAUAACGGUCAUCUUGAUCUCAUGACUAAUGUGAAACACCAGAAGAAACAUGUGCGUGAUAUUACUUGUGCCAGGCAGUCUGAUGCAGAGAAGUGUGGAAGUCACAACAACCAAGGAUUUUUCAGGGGCGUCCAAAGGGCAUUUAGAGGCUGUUCAGCAACAGGACUCAAUAUACUCGUUGCUCUUUGCAUGGUUGGAGUUGCUGCAGCAAUACUGCACCAUGGACGUCACCGUGGCGGGAUCAGAUUGUAG